AGGCCUUAGGUGUGCAUCCCAGGAGCAUGCUCCAAGUGCACUGUGCUCAAAGGGCUCCAGUUGUCCAGUGAAGGAAGCACCAGGAUCCUGUGUCCUCUCUUUGCCCCAGUCUUCAAUGUCCCAGAUACUCCCAGGAGUCUACUCAUCUUGGUGGCCCUAAUUUGGUAUCCCUCGUGUCCUGCUGGCUGGCAGUAACAGAAAAGCCUGGCCUUUGAAUAUGACCCUGUCUGCUCUUCACCUGCUGCCUGGAACAUUUCUUGACUUCUGCUUCUCCAGACAUCUCAUUUUGUAAAGGAGCAACGAUGGUCUCAGUUGCUAAAGCUGUUGAAAUUCCACAGAAUACAGCAAUGAAGAAGUGGGCGAUACCGGCCCUUUCCUUCCAUCUUCCAAGAUGUCCUCUGCUCUCCUGUUCAACCUCUCUGCUGGCACGCUUCCCUUAGUUUGUAAACCCUUUCCCAUAUUAAGAAAAAGACUUGGUUUUGCUCUGUCCUUUGCUCUUCCUCUUCCCUGUACAGUGAGGCUUUCCACGACAGCUGACCAUAGGCCAUGUUUACAAUCCUCACAUGCCAUAAACCUGCUGGCAUGUGGCUUCCUGCCAAGUCUUCAUUUCAAAAUGCCUUCUAUAAAGGUCACUUCUUGACACCUUUCCUUUAGCAAUGCACAGGUUGACAUAGUA
Molecule: long non-coding RNA, 676 nt
Filed under: Mus musculus (house mouse)
Lineage: Eukaryota; Metazoa; Chordata; Mammalia; Rodentia; Muridae
Description: predicted gene, 33508
Source: RNAcentral